GACCCCAGGUCAGGCGGGAUCACCCGCCGAGUUUAA
Molecule: ribosomal RNA, 36 nt
Filed under: Arum italicum
Lineage: Eukaryota; Viridiplantae; Streptophyta; Magnoliopsida; Alismatales; Araceae
Description: partial 26S ribosomal RNA
Source: RNAcentral